Molecule: transfer RNA, 76 nt
Filed under: Pseudomonadota bacterium
Lineage: Bacteria; Pseudomonadati; Pseudomonadota
Also listed under: 1 other name
Description: tRNA-Ile
Rfam family: tRNA
About the family: Transfer RNA (tRNA) molecules are approximately 80 nucleotides in length. Their secondary structure includes four short double-helical elements and three loops (D, anti-codon, and T loops). Further hydrogen bonds mediate the characteristic L-shaped molecular structure. tRNAs have two regions of fundamental functional importance: the anti-codon, which is responsible for specific mRNA codon recognition, and the 3' end, to which the tRNAs corresponding amino acid is attached (by aminoacyl-tRNA synthetases). tRNAs cope with the degeneracy of the genetic code in two manners: having more than one tRNA (with a specific anti-codon) for a particular amino acid; and 'wobble' base-pairing, i.e. permitting non-standard base-pairing at the 3rd anti-codon position.
Source: RNAcentral
GGGCCCAUAGCUCAGCUGGUAGAGCUCCCGGCUCAUAACCGGUCGGUCCCUGGUUCGAGCCCAGGUGGGCCCACCA